UCAUCACGAUGGUAGUUAAUGUGAUGAUGAUGGUACAACUACCAUGUUGGUAGUUGUACCAUCAUCAUCAUCACAUUAACUACCAUCAUCA
Molecule: non-coding RNA, 91 nt
Organism: Paramuricea clavata
Lineage: Eukaryota; Metazoa; Cnidaria; Anthozoa; Malacalcyonacea; Plexauridae
Source: the annotation of a GenBank genome assembly